This 391-nucleotide ribosomal RNA is filed under the name Chrysophyceae sp. RNAcentral's name for it is "partial small subunit ribosomal RNA". It matches the Rfam family "Eukaryotic small subunit ribosomal RNA", at positions 582 to 975 of the family's 1831-position model. Lineage: Eukaryota; Chrysophyceae. The record is from RNAcentral.
AUUCCAGCUCCAAUAGCGUAUACUAAAGUUGUUGCAGUUAAAAAGCUCGUAGUUGGAUUUCUGUUUUUAAAAAUCGGUCGUAACCUCACGGUUUCUGUACCAGGUUUCUUAAAUGCAUCCUCAGGGUUCUGUUAUCUGGUAUUAAUUUAUCGGAUUUCUGGUCCUUGUCAUUUACUGUGAGCAAAAUAGAGUGUUCAAAGCAGGCUUAGGCCAUGAAUACAUUAGCAUGGAAUAAUAAGAUAGGACCUUGGUCUAUUUUGUUGGUUUACAUUCCAAGGUAAUGAUUAAUAGGGAUAGUUGGGGGUAUUCGUAUUCAAUUGUCAGAGGUGAAAUUCUUGGAUUUAUGGAAGACGAACUACUGCGAAAGCAUUUACCAAGGAUGUUUUCAUUA